This 245-nucleotide ribosomal RNA is filed under the name uncultured bacterium. Its description in RNAcentral is "partial 16S ribosomal RNA". It matches the Rfam family "Bacterial small subunit ribosomal RNA", at positions 524 to 768 of the family's 1533-position model. The record is from RNAcentral.
UACGGGGGGAGCAAGCGUUGUCCGGAUUCAUUGGGCGUAAAGGGCGCGUAGGUGGGACGAUAAGUCGGGGGUGAAAGGUGCGAGCUUAACUCGCAGAUUGCCUUCGAUACUGUCGUUCUUGAGUGCAGAAGGGGAUAGUGGAAUUCCUGGUGUAGCGGUGGAAUGCGCAGAUAUCAGGAAGAACACCGGUGGCGAAGGCGGCUAUCUGGUCUGACACUGACACUGAGGCGCGAAAGCGUGGGGAG